This 206-nucleotide ribosomal RNA is filed under the name Acinetobacter baumannii. Its description in RNAcentral is "partial 23S ribosomal RNA". It matches the Rfam family "Bacterial large subunit ribosomal RNA", at positions 1 to 198 of the family's 2925-position model. RNAcentral also lists the same sequence under 1 other name. Lineage: Bacteria; Pseudomonadati; Pseudomonadota; Gammaproteobacteria; Moraxellales; Moraxellaceae. The record is from RNAcentral.
GGGUUGUGAGGUUAAGCGACUAAGCGUACACGGUGGAUGCCCUGGCAGUCAGAGGCGAUGAAGGACGUGCUAAUCUGCGAAAAGCGUCGGUAAGGUGAUAUGAACCGUUAUAACCGGCGAUGUCCGAAUGGGGAAACCCAGUGCAAUUCGUUGCACUAUCGUUAACUGAAUACAUAGGUUAACGAGGCGAACCGGGGGAACUGAAA